Molecule: transfer RNA, 77 nt
Filed under: Thermoanaerobacterales bacterium
Lineage: Bacteria; Bacillati; Bacillota; Clostridia; Thermoanaerobacterales
Description: tRNA-Pro
Rfam family: tRNA
About the family: Transfer RNA (tRNA) molecules are approximately 80 nucleotides in length. Their secondary structure includes four short double-helical elements and three loops (D, anti-codon, and T loops).
Source: RNAcentral
CGGGGCGUAGCGUAGUUUGGUAGCGCACAUGGUUUGGGACCAUGGGGUCGGGGGUUCAAAUCCCUCCGCCCCGACCA